Molecule: ribosomal RNA, 253 nt
Filed under: uncultured bacterium
Lineage: Bacteria
Description: partial 16S ribosomal RNA
Rfam family: Bacterial small subunit ribosomal RNA
Source: RNAcentral
UACGGAGGGAGCUAGCGUUGUUCGGAAUUACUGGGCGUAAAGCGCACGUAGGCGGCUUUUUAAGUCAGGGGUGAAAGCCCGGGGCUCAACCUCGGAAUUGCCUUCAAAACUGACGACCUAGAGUUUGGGAGAGGUGUGUGGAACUCCGAGUGUAGAGGUGAAAUUCGUAGAUAUUCGGAAGAACACCAGUGGCGAAGGCGACACACUGGUCCAAUACUGACGCUGAGGCGCGAAAGCGUGGGGAGCAAACAGG